Molecule: ribosomal RNA, 506 nt
Filed under: uncultured bacterium
Lineage: Bacteria
Description: bacterial SSU rRNA
Rfam family: Bacterial small subunit ribosomal RNA
Source: RNAcentral
AUGAACGCUAGCGACAGGCCUAACACAUGCAAGUCGAGGGGCAUCGGGCGUAGCAAUACGCUGCCGGCGACCGGCGGAUGGGUGAGUUAACGCGUAUGCAACCUGCCUUCAGCAGGGGGAUAGCCCGUUGAAAGACGGAUUAAUACCCCGUAACACAGGGGCUCCGCAUGGAGAUUAUUGUUAAAGGGAUACUUCCUUCGGGGGGUAUUCCGGCUGAAGAUGGGCAUGCGUUCCAUUAGGUAGUUGGUUGAGGUAACGGCUCACCAAGCCUACGAUGGAUAGGGGAACUGAGAGGUUGGCCCCCCACACUGGUACUGAGACACGGACCAGACUCCUACGGGAGGCAGCAGUGAGGAAUCUUGGUCAAUGGACGGAAGUCUGAACCAGCCAUGUCGCGUGAAGGAGGACGGCCCUAAGGGUUGUAAACUUCUUUUGCAGCGGAAUAAAGUAUUCCACGAGAUGGGAUAUUGCAAGUACGCUGCGAAUAAGGAUCGGCUAACUCCGUG